AUGGCCGCAGUAUUUUGACUGUGCAAAGGUAGCAUAAUUAUUAGUUUUUUAAUUGAAAGCUUGUAUGAAGGGUUGGACGAGAUAAAAUCUGUCUUUAUUUAAAUUAAAAUAGAAUUUAACUUUUAAGUCAAAAGGCUUAAAUGUUUGUAAAAGACGAGAAGACCCUAUAGAUCUUUAUUAAAUUUAAAUUUUGAUAAUUUAAGAUUAUUUUAAUUUGAAGUUUAAAUUUAAUUUUAUUGGGGUAAUAUAAAGAUUAAAUAAAUUCUUUUUAUUAAUUACAUUAAUUUAUGUAUAUAUGAUCCAUUAUUAUUGAUUAUAAGAUUAAGUUACCUUAGGGAUAACAGCGUAAUUUUUUUAGAGAGCUCAUAUCGAUAAAAAAGUUUGCGACCUCGAUGUUGGAUUAAAAAUUAGCUUGGGUGCAGAAGCUCAAGAUUUUGGUCUGUUCGACCAUUAAAUUUUUACAUGAUCUGAGUUCAGACCGGCGUAAGCCAGGUCGGUUUCUAUCUUUAUUUAAAUAAAAUAUUUUAGUACGAAAGGACCAAGUAUUUAAUAUAAUUAUAUUUAUUUUUUGAAUAAUAUU
Molecule: ribosomal RNA, 580 nt
Filed under: Zecicindela helmsi
Lineage: Eukaryota; Metazoa; Arthropoda; Insecta; Coleoptera; Carabidae
Description: partial 16S ribosomal RNA
Rfam family: Bacterial large subunit ribosomal RNA
Source: RNAcentral